RNAcentral lists this unclassified non-coding RNA (330 nucleotides) under soil metagenome. Its description in RNAcentral is "partial contains 5.8S ribosomal RNA, internal transcribed spacer 2, and large subunit ribosomal RNA". The stretch from base 1 to 120 matches the Rfam family "5.8S ribosomal RNA", at positions 35 to 154 of the family's 154-position model. The record is from RNAcentral.
GAUGAAGAACGUAGCGAAAUGCGAUAAGUAAUGUGAAUUGCAGAAUUCAGUGAAUCAUCGAAUCUUUGAACGCACAUUGCGCCCCCUGGUAUUCCGGGGGACAUGCCUGUUCGAGCGUCAUUUCACCACUCAAGCCUCGCUUGGUAUUGGGCAACGCGGUCCGCCGCGUGCCUCAAAUCGACCGGCUGGGUCUUCUGUCCCCUAAGCGUUGUGGAAACUUUCGCUAAAGGGUGUUCGGGAGGCUACGCCGUAAAACAACCCCAUUUCUAAGGUUGACCUCGGAUCAGGUAGGGAUACCCGCUGAACUUAAGCAUAUCAAUAAGCGGAGGA